RNAcentral lists this ribosomal RNA (280 nucleotides) under uncultured bacterium. Its description in RNAcentral is "partial 16S ribosomal RNA". It matches the Rfam family "Bacterial small subunit ribosomal RNA", at positions 338 to 635 of the family's 1533-position model. The record is from RNAcentral.
CCUACGGGAGGCAGCAGUGGGGAAUCUUGCGCAAUGGGCGAAAGCCUGACGCAGCAACGCCGCGUGCGGGAUGAAGGCCUUCGGGUUGUAAACCGCUUUCAGCAGGGAAGAAAUUGACGGUACCUGCAGAAGAAGCCCCGGCCAACUACGUGCCAGCAGCCGCGGUAACACGUAGGGGGCGAGCGUUGUCCGGAUUUAUUGGGCGUAAAGAGCUCGUAGGCGGUUCGGUAAGUCGGGUGUGAAACCUCCAGGCUCAACCUGGAGACGCCACCUGAUACUG